GUGGGGAAUAUUGGACAAUGGGCGCAAGCCUGAUCCAGCCAUGCCGCGUGAGUGAUGAAGGCCCUAGGGUUGUAAAGCUCUUUCACCGGUGAAGAUAAUGACGGUAACCGGAGAAGAAGCCCCGGCUAACUUCGUGCCAGCAGCCGCGGUAAUACGAAGGGGGCUAGCGUUGUUCGGAAUUACUGGGCGUAAAGCGCACGUAGGCGGACAUUUAAGUCAGGGGUGAAAUCCCGGAGCUCAACUCCGGAACUGCCUUUGAUACUGGGUGUCUUGAGUAUGGAAGAGGUAAGUGGAAUUCCGAGUGUAGAGGUGAAAUUCGUAGAUAUUCGGAGGAACACCAGUGGCGAAGGCGGCUUACUGGUCCAUUACUGACGCUGAGGUGCGAAAGCGUGGGGAGCAAACAGGAUUAGAAACCCUAGUAGUCC
RNAcentral lists this ribosomal RNA (425 nucleotides) under uncultured bacterium. Its description in RNAcentral is "bacterial SSU rRNA". It matches the Rfam family "Bacterial small subunit ribosomal RNA", at positions 354 to 796 of the family's 1533-position model. The record is from RNAcentral.